RNAcentral lists this unclassified non-coding RNA (219 nucleotides) under Glomus sp. Its description in RNAcentral is "partial contains 5.8S ribosomal RNA and internal transcribed spacer 2". The stretch from base 1 to 65 matches the Rfam family "5.8S ribosomal RNA", at positions 84 to 154 of the family's 154-position model. The record is from RNAcentral. Lineage: Eukaryota; Fungi; Glomeromycota; Glomeromycetes; Glomerales; Glomeraceae.
GUGAAUCAUCGAAUUUUUGAACGCAAAUUGCACUCUCUUCGGAGAGUAUGCCUGUUUGAGGGUCAGCCUAAAAAAAAAUCGACAUAGUCGCUGUUUUGCGGUGGCAUUCGUUGGAAAUUGGGUCAUUUUAAAACUUUGGGGUUUAAGUGGCUUAAAAUUUUCUUUACGAUUUUGCGAACGUUUCUAAGAUUUAUUUCUUUUACGUUUAAGGUAAUGUAU